RNAcentral lists this microRNA (21 nucleotides) under Homo sapiens (human). RNAcentral's name for it is "hsa-miR-6823-5p". The record is from miRBase by way of RNAcentral. Lineage: Eukaryota; Metazoa; Chordata; Mammalia; Primates; Hominidae.
UCAGGGUUGGUAGGGGUUGCU